AUGCAACCCUUCUUGCCGCGAAGAAUCAGAGAGAUCCGGUGCUUCAUGCGGAGCAUUGUUGAUUACUGUGGAAGUGCCGGCCCAGAGUUGUUUGAGUUGGCACCUAUGUUGGUCAGUAAUUUGGGUGGGUCAGUGACAUUACUACAAGUUCAUGCUACAGUCAUUCGGGUUUUUGUAGAGUUGUCAAUGUUUGAGGAUGCUCUUCUCACUUACAUUGAGGCCAAGAAGGUUGGAGUUGAGCUGCAGUUGUGCAACUUCCUGCUGAAGUGUUUAGUGGAGAGGAAUCAAAUCAUGUCUGCGAGGAGUUUGUUUGAUGACAUGAAUACUUCUGGUCCGUCACCAAAUGUGUACUCUUAUUCAGUUUUGAUGAGUGCUUAUACACAUGGAGAUAGGCUAUGCUUGGAGGAAGCUUUUGAGCUUCUAUGUGAAAUGGAAAUGAAAGGCGUGAAACCGAAUGCGGUAACCUAUGGCACUUACCUCUAUGGGCUUUGCCGUACCAGACAUGUGUCAUCUGCAUGGAACUUUCUUCAAAUGCUUUGUCAGAGAGGCUACCCUCGCAACAGUUAUUGUUACAAUGCUGUGAUUCAUGGUUUCUGUCAUGAGGAACAGGUUCAGAAAGCCAUGGAGGUGUUUGAUGGGAUGAAGAAGGGUGGGUUUAUCCCAGAUGCCCAUAGCUAUAGUAUAUUAGUUGAUGGGUUAUGUAAGCAAGGGGAUCUAUUGGCAGGCUAUGACGUGCUUGUCGAAAUGGUAAGAAAUGGGAUUGCUCCUACUCUGGUCAGUUAUACUUCACUUUUGCAUGGUCUUUGCAGAGCUGGAAAGGUUGAAUUGGCAUUUGACCUGUUUAGGAGGCUCAAAGAACAAGGUGUCAAGCAUGACCACAUAGUUUACAGCAUUUUUCUUGAUGGUUGUUGCCAACAUUUUGAUCUAGAGGUUGUGUAUGAUCUUUGGAAGAACAUGGUUCAUCAUAAUUUUAUUCCAGAUGCUUACAACUAUACUAGUCUGAUAUAUGCAUUCUGUAGACAUAGUUACCUCAAAGAAGCAUUGGGAGUAUUCGAACUCAUGUUUGAGAAGGGAAUAAGCCCGAACAUUGUGACAUGCACCAUUCUAGUUGACAGUUUCAGCAAAGAAGGGAUGAUCGAUGAAGCCCUCCUAUUCCUGGACAAAGUACGCCAGCUUGGAAUUGUUCCCAACCUUUGUAUGUACAGAGUUAUCAUAAAUGGUCUGUGCAAGGUCAACAAAUGCGAUGAUGUGUGGGCCUUUUUCGCAGACAUGAUAAAAAGAGGCUGCGUUCCAGAUACUUACAUUUAA
This 1308-nucleotide ribosomal RNA is filed under the name Triticum aestivum (bread wheat). RNAcentral describes it as "partial small subunit ribosomal RNA". The record is from RNAcentral. Lineage: Eukaryota; Viridiplantae; Streptophyta; Magnoliopsida; Poales; Poaceae.